RNAcentral lists this long non-coding RNA (292 nucleotides) under Zostera marina. Its description in RNAcentral is "long non-coding RNA (ZMAR_LNC004313)". The record is from RNAcentral. Lineage: Eukaryota; Viridiplantae; Streptophyta; Magnoliopsida; Alismatales; Zosteraceae.
AAAAGUCGAUCUUCAAAAAGUCGAUCCCUAGUGCACUUGGAGGAUUCCUUGGAAGUCGAUGCCUGAAAGCCUAGCUCCUUGAGGGAUCAACUUUUUUUCUUGGGAGAAAAAGUCGAUCUUCUGAAAUGUUGAUCCCUUGCUGGCUGAUUUCCUCGCAAGACUCCCUAGCUGGCGACUUGGAAAAAAGUCGAUCACUUUUUUCGAAAAAGUCGAGGAGCUUUUGUCGUGAGUAUCUUUGAGUCACAGACGGCGCCAACUGAUGGGGGUGAAACCCGACCAGUACUCCAAGACG